Long non-coding RNA from Ictalurus furcatus (blue catfish), 1258 nucleotides. RefSeq lists it as uncharacterized. The transcript is spliced from 6 exons. Lineage: Eukaryota; Metazoa; Chordata; Actinopteri; Siluriformes; Ictaluridae. The record is from RefSeq and is a predicted model, not a curated record.
UUUAACCUGUAUCACUGCUUUACUCUGUUGAGAAGGUGUAGAAUAUCAGACUCCUUCUACAGUACAUCAGGACACCAAUCAGCCUGCAGAUGGUGAUAACAUCUACGAAAAUGCUGAUAUCAGGACCACAGAUGAUUCUGCAGCUGGAACCAGCAAUAUGAUCCACUCACAGGAUGUCCACAGAAACAAGACACAAAAUGAUGCUGCUGCUGGACCAAGUGAUGUGACUUAUGCUGAUAUUGAACUGAAAAACCAAAAGAAGCCAAAGAGAAAACAAGGAAAGAGCAGUGAGGGAGCUGACACUGUUUACUCAGAACUGAAGCAGAACACAGAUAAAGGUCCAUGAAGAAAGUCUAAAGUCUCCAAUCAGGACUUGUUGAAACAGCUAAAGAACAUAUUUACAUAUUUAUACACAUAUUAGGGGGCACAUUGUAGUGUCUGGAAAGCUUGGGGGGGUUUUUUCUUGUUUUUUUGCUUAAUACAAAACUAUGCAUUGUACCAACUCCUGAUAUGAAUGUUAAAGGAGGAACAGGGAGCAAUUUUAAAAUUAUAUUUCCUAUUGUUCACAGUGGGUCAGAAUUGGCUUUAUCCAGGUUAAAUUAAGUUUCCAGUUUUCAUUCACUGGAUCAGUAUAAUUUAUAAGCUGGCAGUGUGGAUUACUAAGUGUUCACUCGUAUAUUGUAAUACUGAUCUUAAUGACAAAUAAAACAUGAAUAAAAAGUAUAUAUUGUUUCACAGUAAAAACGAGAUUUUUCUUACACAUUUCUGUCAACAUUUAAUUUCUUAGAUUGUAUGUACAUUAUUUUAUUGAAGUCAAGAUUCAUUCAUGUAUUUUUGUUUAUUUACUCAUUUAUGCUAUUUACCUAUUAGUGGAUUGUAAACAAAUUGCAUUUGUCAGUUUAGGAAUAAUCAGAUAUUUUGUCUUCACUGCUUUAAACAGUCAAUGAUGCAGUAUUGUCUUUGAGUGAGCGGUCCGUGGUCUUUUGGCACAUGGACUGAUAUUGUGUCUAAUUUUAUACCUUUAAUCUUUUUUAGUUUAGUGCCUCUAUAAUAUGUAAAUUAAUAUUUUUUAAAAAUAAUUAUAUAAUACUAUGUAUAUUUUAUCCUAAAAAAAGUAAAGUAAUAGAUGUCAUCAUUUUGAGUAAGAUAAUGUACUUUCUUUUGUUUUUCUCUGGUUUAUUGAUUUCAUCCAGCAGGAUGUGUUAAGUGUUACAGGAACAAAAGAAAUAUAAGUCUGUAUACAUGCUGUGUUAAGAGC